AACGAACGCUGGCGGCGCGCCUAAUACAUGCAAGUCGAGCGAGAAGACGUAGCAAUACGUUUGUAAAGCGGCGAACGGGUGAGGAAUACAUGGGUAACCUACCCUCGAGUGGGGAAUAACUAGCCGAAAGGUUAGCUAAUACCGCGUACGCUCCUUGGACUUCGGUUCAGGGAGGAAAGCGAUACCGUGGGUAUCGCGCUCUUGGAUGGGCUCAUGUCCUAUCAGCUUGUUGGNGAGGUAC
This 241-nucleotide ribosomal RNA is filed under the name uncultured bacterium. Its description in RNAcentral is "partial 16S ribosomal RNA". It matches the Rfam family "Bacterial small subunit ribosomal RNA", at positions 29 to 260 of the family's 1533-position model. The record is from RNAcentral.